Molecule: long non-coding RNA, 251 nt
Filed under: Salvia miltiorrhiza (redroot sage)
Lineage: Eukaryota; Viridiplantae; Streptophyta; Magnoliopsida; Lamiales; Lamiaceae
Description: long non-coding RNA (SMIL_LNC011255)
Source: RNAcentral
CUUUUACUUUGUUUUCUUUUCUUUCUUGUUUUAUGCUGUCUUCUUUUGUGGGUUUUUCUGGUUGCUCGUUUUACAGGUUGUGGUCGCCGCCCUCUCUACCGCCGUCGCCGUGUUGGCUGCACUCCUAUCCAGGGAUGUUCUUAAACUUUCUCUUUUUGUGCCCUGAGGACAGUGCUUGUUUUUCUCUGUGGGGGAGGGGCGUGAUUUAUGAGUUUUGGGGGUUUUAUGGUUCUGUCUUGGUUGUGUUGUUG